Molecule: ribosomal RNA, 466 nt
Filed under: uncultured bacterium
Lineage: Bacteria
Description: partial 16S ribosomal RNA
Rfam family: Bacterial small subunit ribosomal RNA
Source: RNAcentral
GAUGAACGCUGGCGGCGUGCUUAACACAUGCAAGUCGAACGGAAGGGCUCCUGCUUGCAGGGGUACUCGAGUGGCGAACGGGUGAGUAACACGUGGGUGAUCUGCCCUGCACUUCGGGAUAAGCUUGGGAAACUGGGUCUAAUACCGGAUAGGACCGCAUUUUGGAUGGUGUGGUGGAAAGUUUUUUCGGUGUGGGAUGAGCUCGCGGCCUAUCAGCUUGUUGGUGGGGUAAUGGCCUACCAAGGCGUCGACGGGUAGCCGGCGUGAGAGGGGGUACGGCCACAUUGGGACUGAGGUGCGGCCCAGCCUCCUACGGGAGGCAGCAGUGGGGAAUAUUGCACAAUGGGCGCAAGCCUGAUGCAGCGACGCCGCGUGGGGGAUGACGGCCUUCGGGUUGUAAACUCCUUUCGCUAGGGACGAAGAGUAAUUGACGGUACCUGGAGAAGAAGCACCGGCUAACUACGUG